Molecule: RNA transcript, 2365 nt
Organism: Tarenaya hassleriana
Lineage: Eukaryota; Viridiplantae; Streptophyta; Magnoliopsida; Brassicales; Cleomaceae
Exons: 7
Source: RefSeq, a predicted model, not a curated record
UGUUCAUUUGCUCAGCGUCUUAGGGUUUUGAUCUCAGCGGAAAUGGGGAAGCAUAGCAGAUCCAAGCGAUCGGAGAAUUUCGGAACGGGGAAAAUCACUCCGAGGCAGGUCGCCUUCCUCGUCGAUCGCUACCUCUGCGACAAUCGCUUCUCCGAAACCCGAUCCAUGUUCAGAUCUGAAGCUUCUUCUCUCAUAUCCAAUUCUCCAGCUCGCGAGGUUCCGAAGAGUUUGAUGACUUUGGAUGAUAUUAUAACAGAAUACAUAUGCCUGAAGGAGCAGAAGGUGAUGAUGGAUCAGGAGAAAGCGAGACUGGAGCAGGAGAAAACUAGGGUUCAAAGUCUGUUGCAGGGAAUGCAGAAUGUGAUGAACGCUUACAACGCCAAUGUGGCCGCCCCUCAUCCGGCGAUCCCGGCGGCGGCGGAUCCUUCUCCGGCGAUCCAGAUAGUAACUCCGGCGAUUUCUCAAUCAGCCGUCGGGACUCCUCAGCAGAACAACUUCCGUGAAUCUCCUUCCGGCUGCAAUAUGUACAACACACCAAAUGUUAUGGCAGUGUCAUUGCCAGGUAACAAGAGAAUGUAUUGCGGGAACUUCCCGACACCUUCUACCGGACAGUCGAUACCCAGAAAGCGCAAAGGUCCUGAAUUUUCUUCAGGAGCUCCAUCUGUUUUCAGGAAAACCUGGAACAAGACAGCAACCGAGAACUUGGCUAGCGAUUAUGGUAAGUGUGUUAAUGUGUCCCCUAUGUGUUUAUUCCUUUACACGAUUCAUUUUCCUUGGACUUAUCUCGGAUCUUGUUUUCGGGUUCUAGGGACCGAUAAAUUCCUGCAAUCUGAUAAUAAUGCGGGUAGCUGCUCGAAGUCUCGAAGUCCAUCUAAAAUGCAAACAUUGGCAAAGAUCAACGCAGGAAAUGAGUUGUCUGGCCAUGGAUCCAAUGUAGCAAAGUGUUUGUUCAAUAAAGAUACCAUUGUGUCGCCUCCGAUCACUUCAACUUGCCCUAAGACGCCACAGAAGCAAGUGUCUUCUCAGACCGAUAAAUCUAUCUCCCCACAAGAUGUUACUCUUACUCCUGCAAACUGCACAAUCGUUACAAAGGAGAGAAUCACGGUCAGCCCUCUCAAGCAAAUUACUUCAUAUACAGUGGAAAGGAGCCAUGUGAUUUCGUCAUCACCAGCCAAGUCUAACAAGGGUGGCCAUGCGAAAGGAAGACUCGAUUUUGGAGAUUCUUCCAUGGCGACAGAUGUGGUUUCAACGUCCCCAUCUGGUUCUGAACAGGAAACCGAUUUCUUUGACAUGGAUUUUCCUAAUCUAGAAAUUUUAGGAGAAAACUUUUCCUUCUCAGAGCUACUAGGUGAUUUUGAUCUUGGUUAUGAAGUAGCCGUCGAUCCUUGCCUGCCACUGCCGUCAAAUGUUCCUGAAGAAACUGUUUCAGGGUCAUCCCCUGAAUCAGGGGAUGGGAAUCUAGGGCCUCCUGACCCUGUCUUGUCUGAAUAUACAUCCACAGUGACAGAAGUGAUUCAAGGGAAGGAUGUGAACACACAAGGGCCUGAUGGUAUGACUGCUGUAAAAUCCAUAACCAAAUGCAUAAGAAUUUUAAGUCCUGCAAAGAGCAGCAGGCAGAUUGCCACUACACAGACAAUGGACAUUCUAUGACCUGAUUCAGAUCCGCCAGUGUCAGUCUAACUAUGCUUCUGAAUCCUGAAAGCAGUAGCUGUGUGGCUUAUUAUACCUAACAAGAUACAGAUCAAGUGUACACACACUUGUGUGUGUAUGUGUGUAUGUCUAUAUGGGUGACCUCGUUGGAGACGACGUCGAGCUCCUUCUGAUCCUCUCCCUGAACGUUGACGGCACAUUGAACGCCGGUGAGAACCGGCACGCUGGACCAGAGACGCGAUCUGGUUACACGCCAUGGAUAUGCUCGAGAGUCGAGAUCACGAUCGUCCCCUUCUGCUCCUGCCUCAGCAACCAGAUCGUCAGCGUCCGCACCUCGUAUAGUCUCCACUCUUCUUCGCAGCCACAGCCAUACACCUCACUCCUCCUGCCGCCUCCGCGUGCGUUUCCCGCCAGAGAAAAGAGGGAACGGGUACUCCAGGAAGAGAAGCGUUCACAAUCACAUGGCGCGAGCUGGAGGAGCAGGAGGUGGUGCGACGUCGUUGAGGCGAUUGCUGCCAUUUUCUUGGGAAACAUUUUGAAUCUCGAGCUCUGGCUAUGGAAGUUCUUCGGAGGAGGGAGAGAAGAAAGGGAAUGUUUUGUUUUGCAAGCCGAUGGGCCCCACAUCUCCGAAAAUGACCAUGGGUUCUCUCUUUUCUGGGCCUUAGAUUGUAAUAGGCAGGCCCAUUUAUCCUACAGCCGAUUGGGUUUAUUUUAA